GGCUGAUCUGAUGGUAGUGGGUUAUGAGAACUUAUUAACAUUAGUGUCACUAAAGUUGUUAUUAACCCCCCCCCCCCCGCCCCACUGCUAAAUUUGACUAGCUUUUU
Unclassified non-coding RNA from Otolemur garnettii (small-eared galago), 107 nucleotides. It matches the Rfam family "Y RNA". From Rfam's summary of the family: Y RNAs are components of the Ro ribonucleoprotein particle (Ro RNP), in association with Ro60 and La proteins. The Y RNAs and Ro60 and La proteins are well conserved, but the function of the Ro RNP is not known. In humans the RNA component can be one of four small RNAs -- hY1, hY3, hY4 and hY5. The record is from Ensembl. Lineage: Eukaryota; Metazoa; Chordata; Mammalia; Primates; Galagidae.